This 334-nucleotide ribosomal RNA is filed under the name uncultured bacterium. Its description in RNAcentral is "bacterial SSU rRNA". It matches the Rfam family "Bacterial small subunit ribosomal RNA", at positions 18 to 344 of the family's 1533-position model. The record is from RNAcentral.
CAUGGCUCAGGACUAACGCUUGCGGCGUUCCUAAUACAUGCAAGUAGAACGCUGAAGGAGGAGCUUGCUCUUCUGGAUGAGUUGCGAACGGGUGAGUAACGCGUAGGUAACCUGCCUGGUAGCGGGGGAUAACUAUUGGAAACGAUAGCUAAUACCGCAUAAUAGUAGAUGUUGCAUGACAUUUGCUUAAAAGGUGCAAUUGCAUCACUACCAGAUGGACCUGCGUUGUAUUAGCUAGUUGGUGAGGUAACGGCUCACCAAGGCAACGAUACAUAGCCGACCUGAGAGGGUGCUUGGCCACACUGGGAUUGAGACACGGGCCAGACACCUACGG